Apaloderma vittatum (bar-tailed trogon) is the source of this 58-nucleotide non-coding RNA. NCBI's taxonomy places the organism in Eukaryota, Metazoa, Chordata, Aves, Trogoniformes, Trogonidae. The record is from Rfam.
UAGCUCAGUCAGUUGAGCGUAGCACUAACAAUGCUAAGGUCACAGGUUCGAUUCCCGU